CCCUUAGAUGUUCUGGGCCGCACGCGCGCUACACUGAUGCGUUCAACAAGUUUCCUUGGCCGAGAGGCCUGGGCAAUCUUCUUAAUAUGUAUCGUGAUAGGGAUAGAUUAUUGCAAAUAUUAAUCUUGAACGAGGAAUUCCUAGUAAGCGCAAGUCAACAGCUUGCGUUGAUUACGUCCCUGCCCUUUGUACACACCGCCCGUCGCUACUACUGAUUGGAUGUUUAAGCGAGGUUCUCGAACUGCUAGCGACUUAGCUUCGGUGAGGUCGCAGUGUGGGAAGUGAACCUAGCUUUGGUGUCUAGAGGAAGUAAAAGUCGUAACA
This 324-nucleotide ribosomal RNA is filed under the name uncultured eukaryote. Its description in RNAcentral is "partial 18S ribosomal RNA". It matches the Rfam family "Eukaryotic small subunit ribosomal RNA", at positions 1470 to 1796 of the family's 1831-position model. The record is from RNAcentral.